ACAAACGAUGGAUUAUAGUUCGCUUUCUCCAAAUAUACGGCUGCAUAAUGGCUGUAUUUAGUGCAAUAUUACUUCAUUUUAUUUUUUGUUGAAUGGAUAAUUGCAUUUAUUAAAUUAUUUUGUGAAUAUUGACUUAUUUAUCGCUUCAAACUCUUGCAUAUUAGUGAAUUGGAUAUACGACAUCAAAUUCAAUACUGCCGGUUCAUGGUGAUACGGGAAAACUUCAAGGUUCCUGCAGAUGGUGUUUAAAACUAUUGGCCAGUGAACACAAACCCAUUUAAUUAUAUUUUGAAUCUUCACCAGGAGAAAAAAGAUGGCAGUACUUCUAAUGUAAGCAGCUACUAGGGAAGAUUUAAUGAAGGAAGAUGAGGAAGUGGAGAAAAAGCUGAAGAACAAGGAGGACAAGGGCACAGUGACUUGCAGUGUGUGUCAUGUAACAUUAUUACAACAUCUAUAUCAUGGGUCCAUAAUUUUGAGUAAGUCAUUCAUCAACCACUUUAUCUGUACUGGAAACCAUUUCUGAGAGGGAUGAAGUGAUGGAAGAUAAUGAGCCAGAGGGUGGAACGGAAGAGAAAGGGAAAGAAAUAAAGAAAAAGGCAGAAUGAAAAAGGACUAGAACUUGCAAUAGAAGAAAAAGUUGAGGAAAUGAAGAGGAAGAAAUUGAAGAUGAAAAGAAGAGCUCUGGGAGGAAAAAAUACCAUUUGUAAGAUGUGUGGACAAAAGAAAAACAGCCAUAGAGUGCCAAUGUGGAGUGGAAUAAGUCGGUAUGACUUAAACAUGGUCAAUUGAAGUGUUUGAAUGCCCCUCCAGAAAGCAGAACAAUCUUUGAAUUUGCAGGAAAGAGUAUAAAAUUUGCUGUUAAAAUAUCAUAACAGCUAGACAAAGAUUAAAUAACAACUACAUGUACAUCUAAAGAAUUCUUUUGUCAUAAUAGUGAUUCAUGUGCAAGUACAUGUGACAAGUGCUAUAACGACCUAAUAUAAGUGUGUUUUAGGAGCAUGUUGACUCUAUUGUAAAUGUAUUGACUCCUUAUAUGACCUCAUUUAUAUAUAACAUUAUAUGAAUGGUAGUGUAGUGACUUGAAAUGUGUGUUAGUAGUAUAGCUCGUUAUGUGUGGUAAUUUUGUUAAUAUUUGUUUUACAUGUAUGAUAGUACAUAUAGUAUGGUGACUCAUGUGUUGGGAAUUAAUGUAUAAUUUUAUGUGUGUUACUGGUAUAACUCAUAAUGUGUGUAAAUAUUGUUUUUUGUAAUAU
Molecule: RNA transcript, 1253 nt
Organism: Saccostrea echinata
Lineage: Eukaryota; Metazoa; Mollusca; Bivalvia; Ostreida; Ostreidae
Exons: 6
Source: RefSeq, a predicted model, not a curated record